CUGGGCACUCUAGAGUGACUGCCGGUGACAAACCGGAGGAAGGUGGGGAUGACGUCAAAUCAUCAUGCCCCUUAUGACCUGGGCUACACACGUACUACAAUGGCCGGUACAACGGGAAGCGAAACCGCGAGGUGGAGCCAAUCCCAGCAAAGCCGGUCUCAGUUCGGAUUGCAGGCUGCAACUCGCCUGCAUGAAGUCGGAAUUGCUAGUAAUCGCGGAUCAGCAUGCCGCGGUGAAUACGUUUCCGGGUAUUGUACACACGUCGUAUCACGGUAACGCAGAG
Molecule: ribosomal RNA, 283 nt
Filed under: Paenibacillus sp.
Lineage: Bacteria; Bacillati; Bacillota; Bacilli; Caryophanales; Paenibacillaceae
Description: partial 16S ribosomal RNA
Rfam family: Bacterial small subunit ribosomal RNA
Source: RNAcentral